UGGAGAACAUGCUGCCACAGCAUUAGCAACCGUAAGGAAGAUCUUGUCCUCUCCAAUCAGCUGUGCAAAAUCAGAGGCGUGGAGCUUAUCAAUCACGACUGGGCCAGGAUUUGCUAGGAUAAGCUGUGCAAGAACACAAGGAGCUUCUGAUAAUCUACCUGGGGAAUGCAAAGACUAGCAAUUGUCAGCCCAGCAAUGAGGUCACCUCUAAAUUUUGCAAAACUGUAACUUCUUCCCCAUUCAAGAAUAGGGAAGAUAGCUUGGAGACCUAGGAUGAACUUUUUAGACCUUGGUUGGUCCUUGAAGGAACGUAGAGGAUCAUCUGCAAAGAAUGUCUCUUUCACAGUGGCUUUGAACUCCUUGAAGAGGUUUUGCUUAGGAGGAAGUCCAACCUUGUGAACAUAAGGUGCGUCUUGAGGAUGACGGUGAGAGGAUGACAGGCUCCUUGUAUCCAUAUCGUACUCUUGAGUUGAAUGAACAGCGGAUGACAUGGACAGUUAACUUACCUGUAAUGCAGGACAGUUUAUAAGAUAAUCAUCAUCAUAAAGAGGGCAAUGCUGAUCUUAACUUUUCAGAAAGAAUAUGAAGCAAAUGCUUGAACUACUGAAUCAAGCCAAGUAUAGUCUUCCAAAGAAAAGCUUAGCAUAAACCAAUAAAGUGAAACUUUAGUCA
Long non-coding RNA from Populus trichocarpa (black cottonwood), 672 nucleotides. RefSeq lists it as uncharacterized. NCBI's taxonomy places the organism in Eukaryota, Viridiplantae, Streptophyta, Magnoliopsida, Malpighiales, Salicaceae. The record is from RefSeq and is a predicted model, not a curated record. The transcript has 3 exons.